RNAcentral lists this transfer RNA (72 nucleotides) under Heterocephalus glaber (naked mole-rat). It matches the Rfam family "tRNA". From Rfam's summary of the family: Transfer RNA (tRNA) molecules are approximately 80 nucleotides in length. Their secondary structure includes four short double-helical elements and three loops (D, anti-codon, and T loops). Further hydrogen bonds mediate the characteristic L-shaped molecular structure. tRNAs have two regions of fundamental functional importance: the anti-codon, which is responsible for specific mRNA codon recognition, and the 3' end, to which the tRNAs corresponding amino acid is attached (by aminoacyl-tRNA synthetases). tRNAs cope with the degeneracy of the genetic code in two manners: having more than one tRNA (with a specific anti-codon) for a particular amino acid; and 'wobble' base-pairing, i.e. permitting non-standard base-pairing at the 3rd anti-codon position. Lineage: Eukaryota; Metazoa; Chordata; Mammalia; Rodentia; Bathyergidae. The record is from Rfam by way of RNAcentral.
GGGGAUGUAACUCAGUGGUAGAGUGUGCACUUAGUAUGUAUAAGGCCCUGGGUUUGAUUCCCAGCUUCCCAG